Molecule: ribosomal RNA, 248 nt
Filed under: uncultured bacterium
Lineage: Bacteria
Description: partial 16S ribosomal RNA
Rfam family: Bacterial small subunit ribosomal RNA
Source: RNAcentral
AACGAACGCUGGCGGCAGGCCUAACACAUGCAAGUCGAACGCUCCGCAAGGGAGUGCGCACGGUGAGUAACACGUGGGACCUACCUUCUGGUACGGAACAACCAAGGGAAACUUUGGCUAAGACCGUAUACGACCUCCGGGUGAAAGAUUGAUCGCCGGAAGAGGGCCCGCGUCCGAUUAGAUAGUUGGUGAGGUAACGGCUCACCAAGCCUUCGAUCGGUAGCUGGUCUGAGAGGAUGACCAGCCAC